CACGUAGGGCGCAAGCGUUGUCCGGAAUUAUUGGGCGUAAAGAGCUCGUAGGCGGUUUGUCACGUCGGAUGUGAAAACCCGAGGCUUAACCUCGGGCCUGCAUUCGAUACGGGCUGACUAGAGUUCGGUAGGGGAGACUGGAAUUCCUGGUGUAGCGGUGAAAUGCGCAGAUAUCAGGAGGAACACCGGUGGCGAAGGCGGGUCUCUGGGCCGAUACUGACGCUGAGGAGCGAAAGCGUGGGGAGCGAACAGG
This 253-nucleotide ribosomal RNA is filed under the name uncultured bacterium. Its description in RNAcentral is "partial 16S ribosomal RNA". It matches the Rfam family "Bacterial small subunit ribosomal RNA", at positions 524 to 776 of the family's 1533-position model. The record is from RNAcentral.